Coregonus clupeaformis (lake whitefish) is the source of this 126-nucleotide small nuclear RNA. Lineage: Eukaryota; Metazoa; Chordata; Actinopteri; Salmoniformes; Salmonidae. The record is from RefSeq and is a predicted model, not a curated record.
GUGUUGUAUGAAAGGAGAGGUUAGUUAUAGCAUUCCUCUUGACAUGAUGAGAGGUCCUCCUAGUGGCCUUCAACACAGAUAAGGCCUUGUCACCUACUGUAUUUUGUGGCAUCUCUUUCUCUCUUU